CCUGGGAACUGCAUCUGUGACUGCAUAGCUAGAGUACGGUAGAGGGGGAUGGAAUUCCGCGUGUAGCAGUGAAAUGCGUAGAUAUGCGGAGGAACACCGAUGGCGAAGGCAAUCCCCUGGACCUGUACUGACGCUCAUGCACGAAAGCGUGGGGAGCAAACAGG
This 164-nucleotide ribosomal RNA is filed under the name Variovorax paradoxus. RNAcentral's name for it is "partial 16S ribosomal RNA". It matches the Rfam family "Bacterial small subunit ribosomal RNA", at positions 613 to 776 of the family's 1533-position model. The record is from RNAcentral. Lineage: Bacteria; Pseudomonadati; Pseudomonadota; Betaproteobacteria; Burkholderiales; Comamonadaceae.